AAAGAAUCAACAAGAUAACUUCAAAUGGUGAUAAGUGAUAUGAAAUAAUGAAGAAGAGCGAGGUUGGCCCAAGUGAGCAGAGAAGGCCACCCGGGAGUGCUCUGUCUGUGGCUUGAAGGAUGAAGAAGAGACAGCCACAGCUGGAGCUGAAGGGAGAGCAAUCCAGGCAGAGGGAACAGCAAGUGGACAGCAAGUGGAAAGGCCCAUAGAUGAGACAUGAUUGGAUUUACAAAUGACAGGAAGGAGGCGAAUGUGGCUGGAUUGAGCAAGUGGUAACAGAAAAGGCUGGGAAGGAACUGCAGUGGGGUUGGGGCAGAUCACAUAGAGCGCUGUUGGUGCUGGGGAAAUGGGUGCUGAUUUAUGGUUUUCAAAGAUCACUCUGGCUGCUCCAUGGAGAAUGUAUUUUAAGGAGGAAAGUGUAGGAGCGGGGAGACCAUUUAGGAGACUGUCGCUACUGGGUGAUGAUGGUGCAUUGGACCAGGGAGAAGAGGCUGAUGGAUUGGAAUAUGUUGAAGAACCAAGAGGAGUUCCUGGGGUAUAGUGUGGAGAGUGGAGCAACACAGAGGAUCCAGGAUGAUUCCUGGUCCUCUUCUUGGGAGCCUUCUCUACCCGGGUAGGAUUAAGCACCAUAAAGCCACGCUCAUCCUCUGCUCUGCUGCUGCUGCUAAGUCGCUUCAGUCGAGUCCGACUCUGUGCAACCCCAUAGAUGGCAGCCCACCAGGCUCCUCCAUCCCUGGGAUCCUCCAGGCAAGAACACUGGAAAAAAUGAAGAUAAGAAGCAAAAAUCGGAAGGUAUAAUUUCCACAAGGAUGUUUGUGGACACUGGAAUUUUGGGGAGUGCUUUGUAUUUGUGAUGUGUAUGUGAUGAUCACAUAGGUGGCUGAAGAUUCAUUGAUAUCCAGAAGAUAAACCACAAGAAAAGCAACCAGGAACAACUCCACGCUGGCUGACUUUUCCCAGAUCCUUGUGUUUUACCUGGAAAUUUGUGCUUUGACUCAGAUCCUAGCUCUGAGUGUGAAAUCUCACAACAAAAGGAAUUAAUCAUUAAAGUUCUAUGGGGAAUUCUGGUCUUUUAAAAAUCACUUGCAUACCAUUUCUCUGGGUGACAUUUUCUGAUCGACAAAGCUUGAGUCAUGGGUCUGUUAACUUUUUACAUAUUGUGGCUACAAUGAUAUAAUUCAGGAUCUUCUUAAGGAUGUGACAAAUUUUUUGCUAUCUAGUGACUAAGGACUUUCUAUUUUCAAUCUGAUGAGGUGUCAUUUGGAGCGCUAUGAACUUUACAUACCCAUUUAUACAUCCCCUGAUGAUUAAAAUGGAGCUAGAUAACUUAAUUAACAAAAAGAAAAAAUAAAAUUAUUAUGGUGUUUAUGCAACAUUGAAAAAGCUACUUCUUGAUGCUGAAAGGCACAAAUGUAAUCAUCAGGCAUUUGGGCAAUGUCUAAAAAUUAAUUUCAUUGUUGUCUUCAUCUCCCAAUCAAAAUGGUAUUACGUUUCCUUUCUCCUUCUCUGCCCAUUCAGCAUUUAGAAGAGAAAGGAAGUAGUUUUCAGCUUUUAGCUGCCAUUUUCCAAGUGCAUGUGGUCCUGAGCAUGCUCACCUAAAAUCUGUUUCUCUCUACCCCUCACUUCCACUCCAUAUUUUUUUUCUCUUUAUGUACUUUAAAAAGUUUACCAUAACUUUUUUACCAUAAACAAAAACAUUUAAGAAGUUUACCAUAACUUUUUUACCAUAAACAUAACUGAAUCUUCGUAAAUCUGGAGGAUAAGACACAAGAAAAAUAUAGAGGAAUUAAUCAAAACACAAGGAUGAUUUUUUUUCCCUCUUCUGAAUGUCAGCUUUGAAAAACUCUUACUGCUAAAGGCCGGAAUAAAUGUUAAUGAUUCAAAACAAAGAAGAAGGUUGUAUUUGUAGCUGUACUGUGAAAAAACACUUGUUAGCUUGAGUGAUAUCCUUGAAUUGUUACAGUUUUCUUCUCUAAAAAUGCAAGUAUCUUUUCUUUUUCUGUUAAUUUUUAAAAAAUAAAUUUAUCUCAUUUA
Molecule: long non-coding RNA, 2034 nt
Organism: Bos taurus (domestic cattle)
Lineage: Eukaryota; Metazoa; Chordata; Mammalia; Artiodactyla; Bovidae
Source: Ensembl